Molecule: ribosomal RNA, 468 nt
Filed under: uncultured bacterium
Lineage: Bacteria
Description: partial 16S ribosomal RNA
Rfam family: Bacterial small subunit ribosomal RNA
Source: RNAcentral
GACGAACGCUGGCGGCGUGCUUAACACAUGCAAGUCGAACGGAAAGGCCCUGCUUUUGUGGGAUGCUCGAGUGGCGAACGGGUGAGUAACACGUGAGUAACCUUCCCUUGACUUUGGGAAAACUUCAGGAAACGGGGGCUAAUACCGUAUAGGUGCUCCGGCUGCAUGGUGGGGGUUGGAAAGUUUCGGCGGUUGGGGAUGGACUGGCGGCUUAUCAGCUUGUUGGUGGGGUAGUGGCUUACCAAGGCUUUGACGGGUAGCCGGCCUGAGAGGGUGACCGGCCACAUUGGGACUGAGAUCCGGCCAAGCCUCCUCCGGGAGGCAGCAGUGGGGAUUAUUGCACAAUGGGCGGAAGCCUGAUGCAGCAACGCCGCGUGCGGGAUGACGGCCUUCGGGUUGUAACCCGCUUUCGCCUGUGACGAAGCGUGAGUGACGGUAAUGGGUAAAGAAGCACCGGCUAACUACGUG